Molecule: ribosomal RNA, 391 nt
Filed under: uncultured bacterium
Lineage: Bacteria
Description: partial 16S ribosomal RNA
Rfam family: Bacterial small subunit ribosomal RNA
Source: RNAcentral
AUACGGAGGAUCCAAGCGUUAUCCGGAUUUAUUGGGUUUAAAGGGUGCGCAGGCGGCCAUUUAAGUCAGCGGUUAAAUCGUGGGGCUCAACCCCAUUCUGCCGUUGAUACUGGGUGGCUUGAUUGCGGUCGAGGUUGGCGGAAUUCGUUGUGUAGCGGUGAAAUGCAUAGAUAUGACGAAGAACACCGAUUGCGUAGGCAGCUGACCAGACCGCAAAUGACGCUCAUGCACGAAAGUGCGGGGAUCGAACAGGAUUAGAUACCCUGGUAGUCGCACAGUAAACGAUGAAUACUUGUUUUCGGCGAUAUAAUGUCGGAGGCAAAGCGAGAGCGAUAAGUAUUCCACCUGGGGAGUACGCCGGCAACGGUGAAACUCAAAGGAAUUGACGGGG